RNAcentral lists this transfer RNA (71 nucleotides) under Bacteroidales bacterium. RNAcentral describes it as "tRNA-Cys". It matches the Rfam family "tRNA". From Rfam's summary of the family: Transfer RNA (tRNA) molecules are approximately 80 nucleotides in length. Their secondary structure includes four short double-helical elements and three loops (D, anti-codon, and T loops). The record is from RNAcentral. Lineage: Bacteria; Pseudomonadati; Bacteroidota; Bacteroidia; Bacteroidales.
GGUACCUUUGCCGAGUGGCUAGGCACCAGUCUGCAAAACUGGCUACGGCGGUUCGAAUCCGCCAGGUACCU